UUGAAGGUUGGGUAACACUAACUGGAGGACCGAACCGACUAAUGUUGAAAAAUUAGCGGAUGACCUGUGGCUGGGGGUGAAAGGCCAAUCAAACCGGGAGAUAGCUGGUUCUCCCCGAAAGCUAUUUAGGUAGCGCCUCGUGAAUUCAUCUCCGGGGGUAGAGCACUGUUUCGGCUAGGGGGCCAUCCCGGCUUACCAACCCGAUGCAAACUGCGAAUACCGGAGAAUGUUAUCACGGGAGACACACGGCGGGUGCUAACGUCCGUCGUGAAGAGGGAAACAACCCAGACCGCCAGCUAAGGUCCCAAAGUCAUGGUUAAGUGGGAAACGAUGUGGGAAGGCCCAGACAGCCAGGAUGUUGGCUUAGAAGCAGCCAUCAUUUAAAGAAAGCGUAAUAGCUCACUGGUCGAGUCGGCCUGCGCGGAAGAUGUAACGGGGCUAAACCAUGCACCGAAGCUGCGGCAGCGACGCUGAUGCGUUGUUGGGUAGGGGAGCGUUCUGUAAGCCUGCGAAGGUGGCCUGUGAGGGUUGCUGGAGGUAUCAGAAGUGCGAAUGCUGACAUAAGUAACGAUAAAGCGGGUGAAAAGCCCGCUCGCCGGAAGACCAAGGGUUCCUGUCCAACGUUAAUCGGGGCAGGGUGAGUCGACCCCUAAGGCGAGGCCGAAAGGCGUAGUCGAUGGGAAACGGGUUAAUAUUCCCGUACUUGGUGUUACUGCGAAGGGGGGACGGAGAAGGCUAUGUUGGCCGGGCGACGGUUGUCCCGGUUUAAGCGUGUAGGUGUGUGUUCCAGGUAAAUCCGGUUCACUUUAACACUGAGGCGUGACGACGAGGCACUACGGUGCUGAAGCAACAAAUGCCCUGCUUCCAGGAAAAGCCUCUAAGCAUCAGGUAACAUCAAAUCGUACCCCAAACCGACACAGGUGGUCAGGUAGAGAAUACCAAGGCGCUUGAGAGAACUCGGGUGAAGGAACUAGGCAAAAUGGUGCCGUAACUUCGGGAGAAGGCACGCUGACACGUAGGUGAAGUGAUUUACUCAUGGAGCUGAAGUCAGUCGAAGAUACCAGCUGGCUGCAACUGUUUAUUAAAAACACAGCACUGUGCAAACACGAAAGUGGACGUAUACGGUGUGACGCCUGCCCGGUGCCGGAAGGUUAAUUGAUGGGGUCAGCGCAAGCGAAGCUCCUGAUCGAAGCCCCGGUAAACGGCGGCCGUAACUAUAACGGUCCUAAGGUAGCGAAAUUCCUUGUCGGGUAAGUUCCGACCUGCACGAAUGGCGUAAUGAUGGCCAGGCUGUCUCCACCCGAGACUCAGUGAAAUUGAACUCGCUGUGAAGAUGCAGUGUACCCGCGGCAAGACGGAAAGACCCCGUGAACCUUUACUAUAGCUUGACACUGAACAUUGAGCCUUGAUGUGUAGGAUAGGUGGGAGGCUUUGAAGUGUGGACGCCAGUCUGCAUGGAGCCGACCUUGAAAUACCACCCUUUAAUGUUUGAUGUUCUAACGUGGACCCGUGAUCCGGGUUGCGGACAGUGUCUGGUGGGUAGUUUGACUGGGGCGGUCUCCUCCUAAAGAGUAACGGAGGAGCACGAAGGUUGGCUAAUCCUGGUCGGACAUCAGGAGGUUAGUGCAAUGGCAUAAGCCAGCUUGACUGCGAGCGUGACGGCGCGAGCAGGUGCGAAAGCAGGUCAUAGUGAUCCGGUGGUUCUGAAUGGAAGGGCCAUCGCUCAACGGAUAAAAGGUACUCCGGGGAUAACAGGCUGAUACCGCCCAAGAGUUCAUAUCGACGGCGGUGUUUGGCACCUCGAUGUCGGCUCAUCACAUCCUGGGGCUGAAGUAGGUCCCAAGGGUAUGGCUGUUCGCCAUUUAAAGUGGUACGCGAGCUGGGUUUAGAACGUCGUGAGACAGUUCGGUCCCUAUCUGCCGUGGGCGCUGGAGAACUGAGGGGGGCUGCUCCUAGUACGAGAGGACCGGAGUGGACGCAUCACUGGUGUUCGGGUUGUCAUGCCAAUGGCACUGCCCGGUAGCUAAAUGCGGAAGAGAUAAGUGCUGAAAGCAUCUAAGCACGAAACUUGCCCCGAG
This 2078-nucleotide ribosomal RNA is filed under the name Salmonella enterica. RNAcentral's name for it is "partial 23S ribosomal RNA". It matches the Rfam family "Bacterial large subunit ribosomal RNA", at positions 745 to 2803 of the family's 2925-position model. Lineage: Bacteria; Pseudomonadati; Pseudomonadota; Gammaproteobacteria; Enterobacterales; Enterobacteriaceae. The record is from RNAcentral.